Molecule: transfer RNA, 64 nt
Filed under: Hiatula diphos (diphos sanguin)
Lineage: Eukaryota; Metazoa; Mollusca; Bivalvia; Cardiida; Psammobiidae
Also listed under: 1 other name
Description: Soletellina diphos (diphos sanguin) tRNA-Arg
Source: RNAcentral
CGGCAAGAAGUAUAAUGUAUGUGUAGUUUCGGCCUACAUGGAGGGUUAAGUGAUCCCUUGCUGU